This is a long non-coding RNA of Ostrinia nubilalis (European corn borer), 3635 nucleotides long. RefSeq lists it as uncharacterized. The transcript is spliced from 5 exons. NCBI's taxonomy places the organism in Eukaryota, Metazoa, Arthropoda, Insecta, Lepidoptera, Crambidae. The record is from RefSeq and is a predicted model, not a curated record.
UGGGGUAACUGACAAAAUACGGUUUUUGAGUCAAAUAUACAGUUUUUCUUAGUUUUUUCUGCUCUUUCGAAUGGUAUACGUAAAAAAAAUCUAGCUUUAAAAAAAUUACAAUUACACGGACAUUUUCAGGUGUGAACUUUUCAGAUUUCCUUCAAAAUUUUGGUGUAACUGACAUUGUAAUAAUUUUACCAGGUUGAAUUGGUGUAUCUGUAAUAAUGUAAAAAUUUUGCUACAAAACUUUGCAAUUACACUGAUUUGCUAAGGUUUAUAACAUGAAAUAAAAUAGGAGUUUAGAAAGUUUUGAGGCAUAUUACAUUAUUAUUAUACCUGCAGUAUCAGUUAAAGAAGUUAAAGUUAGCUCAACAAAAAAAAAAAAUUAAAUUGAGCAACUAUCCAGCCAACUAGGCGUCACUGCGCGUUGCUAACAUUAACCUGUUGUUACUCUGUUACUUUUACUGUUGUAGUACUCAUGACCUUAAUUCAACAUUGCUAUAAAGAGGUGGGAAAUUAAAUCCAUUUUAUUUUCAGUUUAAGUUGCCCCGUAGAGCUAAAUACGGUAUUGGUAAGUCAAAGCUUAAAAAAAUAUUGAAAUUACUUAGUUUCACAGUAAUACUUUAGUUAUUUCAAUAUUUCUGUCUUAAAAAAAUUAAAUACACAUAUUUUCUUGAUUUUCAUGGCUUUUUUAACAUUUUUUAAUGAAUAAAAUAAAAGUUACUUCUAAUAAAAUAAAAUAAAAAAUAAAGAAAACGACAAAAUGUUAUUUUUUUCAUGAAUUCUCUUAUUUUUUAAUACUUUUACAUAAAUUAUACAGCAACUAAGUAAACAAAACCCAACAAAUACAUCAAAUUAUUUUAAUUUGGGCAGUACUUACACCAAUUUGACCUAUGUUUUUUCCAAAAGUCUGGUGCAAAAUUAGUGUAACUGUCAAAAGUACAAAAAUACAUUGGUGUAACUGCAAUUUAUUUCCUUAACUAAGACAUAUUAGAUAAUUCUUUUUAUUUAAUCUAAAACCGCGUAGAAUUCUAAGCAUUUGUGUAAAAACAAAUCCAAAAAAGGUUAAAUAGGAAAAAAGUUAUGUCCGAUUUAAGACAAAAAAAAACUUUAAACGGCUCUACUGAAAAACUGUAUUUUGUCAGUUACCCCAAGUGAACCUGCAACUGACGAUAUGUACCUAUUGAAAAGUUACACCAACUUAAGUUUGUUUGUGGUGGGCACUUCACUCCUGAAUCCUUCAAUGCCAAAGGAACUCGGCUGAAGAACUCAGCUAUUCCAACACUGGAAUUGAGCAAUCCCAUCUUGCCAGAUGAAGUUUUGACAGAGUUUCCUCUUCAUGUAAAAGACUCCAAUAAAGAAAACCUCAAGACAGUUCUUUAUGAUCAUUCAUAUUGCAUUCCAAAGAAGUCAAAUCCAGUUGAACGAGUUCCCCUUACAACUACAACCAAACAACUAAAUUCAACAUGUUUGGGAGCUGUGGAUAUACCAGAUUCUGGUAUUUCUGCGAAAACAACUUUUGAACCUCUUCCUUCUACUUCCAAUGCACCAGAACAUAUGACCUAUAAACCCAUUGCUCAUGAUGAUAAAAACAUUUGCCAUCAAGAUGCACAGGCAGAAAUAUUAGUCCACAGUUAUAAAAGACCUAAGAAAAACAUUGAAAUGAAAGACACUUCAUCAACAUUUACAAUUAAAGAGAAGAGGCUUUGGCGACAGUUACAAAAUGCAAAAAAAACAAUAAGGAAUAUAGCGAAGUCAAGAGUGAAUUUAGACAAGUUAGAUUCGGAAGUGCUGACAUCGUUAGUAAAGGAUGUAGUGCAGAAUAACAAAAAAAAGUCACAAGGAAAAAGGUGGACUUUAGCCAACAAAAUAUAUGCUUUGGCUAUAUUUAAACGGUCCCCUAAAGCAUACCGCUAUAUGCAAAAGCUGUUUACGCUACCAAGCACUAAAACACUCCAAAGGAUUUUAAAAAAUAUACCAAUGGAGCCUGGUAUAAAUAAAAAUAUAAUUGAUAUGUUAGAGGCAAAAGCAUCAAGUAUGCCAAAGGAAAAUAAAUAUUGCUCGUUAAUAUUUGACGAGAUGGCGUUAAAGAAACGGAUAAUUUAUAACGAAAUUGCUGAUAAAGUGGAUGGCUACGUGGAUUAUGGAGAGGGCGAGAACAUGGGACGAGAAAAGAAAAUUGCAGACCAUGCGUUAGUGUUUAUGAUACAGGGUGCUAAACAUAAAUACAAACAAUAUAUUGCGCACUAUUUUGUGGAAGGCACAAUAUCAACAGCAAAACUGGCAAAAAUUAUAUCGGACAUCAUCAAAAAAUUAAAAGAAAUCGGAUUUGUGGUUCUAACAACAGUUUGUGAUCAGGGAUCUACAAAUAUAGGAGCUCUUAACAUGUUAAAAAGAAACUGUGGACAAGGCAUAGAUAGCAACUUUUUCUCUGUAAAUAAUGACAAAUUUUUUAUAAUCUAUGACAUCCCUCACUUGUUCAAAUCAUUACGAAACAAUUUCUUUAAAAGUGGAAAUAUGUCUUUCGAUGGAAAAAUUGCACAAUGGAGGCAUUUGGUAGUUGCAGAAGAACACAACAGAAUUUUUUUAAAUUUUAAAAAACUGAAUAGUACCAUUGUAAAUCCAACAUUCAAAACUAAGAUGAGGGUGAAGUAUGCUGCGCAUGCUCUGAGUAAUACCGUGGCAGCUAUUUUAAAAAUGAUGGCAUGGAAAGAAGUUUCUGAUUGCAAUGAUACAGCAUUUGUGAUUGAACAGUUAGAUAAACUAUUUGAUUGUACAAAUGGUCCAUCAUCUUUAAAUGACGUAAAGAAAGGGAUCCGGGAAAAUGUUUCCACAUCAAGUAAUCACAUUGAGUCUUGGACCUUUUAUACUGAUAAGUUAAAAACCAUAAAAUUUAUAACAGCAGAAAACACGAUACUAAAAAAUGUUAAAUGCGUAAAGGGAUAUCAAAUAUCUAUCAAAUCCUUAAACGAUAUUUGGGAAAAGUUAAAGAAUGAAGGGUUUAAAUAUAUGAACCUUAGACAGUUUAACCAAGACUCUCUGGAAAACUUAUUUGGAAUCAUUAGGCAACACAGUGUAACCAAUAGAAAUCCCACUAUCACGCACUUUACUGCAGCGCUUAAAACAAGCAUGGUUACUGGGCUGAAAGUGCCUCAUAGCAGAAGUGCUAAUUGUGAAGCAGACAACAAUAAACAUAUGCUGGAAUAUAAAGACAUUUUAAAAACUAAUUUAAAAACAACAGAAAUAAAAAUUAAUGUUCAAGAUUCCACAGACACUGAAUUUUAUCCUGUGUUGUCUAUCCCGGACCCUGAAAACUUAGAACAGCCCAUUGAAAAUUUGUGUAGCCUUGAAAACCAACCAGUAGUAUAUGUAAGCGGGUAUUUAGCUGCCAAACUAUUACAGAACAGUUCUUGUUUAAUUUGUGAAGAGUGUUUGAGCGUGAAAACUCCUGUUGACAAUGAUUUGUAUGCAUAUAUAUCUCUUCGCGAAUGGUGGCAUGAUAAAAAAAGUCUCGUUUAUCCAACAAUUCAAUUAUGUACCACCGUAAAUGAAGCUAAACAAUUUUAUCAUGACCAUAUUGCCGACCAGAUAUAUAUGGAAAAUGUUGGAAAAUUCAUUUUCUUAAUGUUGAGUACAAAUUGUAA